Molecule: non-coding RNA, 25 nt
Filed under: Mus musculus (house mouse)
Lineage: Eukaryota; Metazoa; Chordata; Mammalia; Rodentia; Muridae
Source: RNAcentral
UGAAAUGUCGCCUAUGUUUGCUCCU